Molecule: ribosomal RNA, 378 nt
Filed under: Thraustochytrium sp.
Lineage: Eukaryota; Bigyra; Thraustochytrida; Thraustochytriidae
Description: partial small subunit ribosomal RNA
Rfam family: Eukaryotic small subunit ribosomal RNA
Source: RNAcentral
AUUCCAGCUCCAAUAGCGUACACUAAAGUUGUUGCAGUUAAAAAGCUCGUAGUCUAAUGUAUGGGAGUUGCGGGGUGGGUGUUUCGCUGGUUUUGCCGGUGGGACAAUACUCGCUCCGCUUCCCGCUUGUUUUGCUCUCUUUUAAGAAGGCAAAUGUUUCACUGUAAGUAAAACAACUCGCUCAACAGCAAGGUUAUCUUGAUAUGAAUUAGUAUGGGAUGAUGAGAUAGGCUCGGUCCGUAUUUUGUUGGUUUUAGUGGUCUGAGAAUGAUGAAGAGGGACAAUUGGGGGUAUUCGUAUUUACAUGUCAGAGGUGGAAUUCUUGGAUUUUGGAAAGACGAACUAAUGCGAAAGCAUCUACCAAAGAUGUUUUCAUCA